Molecule: transfer RNA, 76 nt
Filed under: Halobacillus sp. BAB-2008
Lineage: Bacteria; Bacillati; Bacillota; Bacilli; Caryophanales; Bacillaceae
Description: tRNA-Phe
Source: RNAcentral
UGUUACCACAUUUAAACUUUAAAUAUAUUGUACUUAAAUAGAGUAAAUAUACACGAAUUGUAUGUAUUUAAACCGU